RNAcentral lists this ribosomal RNA (375 nucleotides) under uncultured Glomus. RNAcentral describes it as "LSU rRNA". Lineage: Eukaryota; Fungi; Glomeromycota; Glomeromycetes; Glomerales; Glomeraceae. The record is from RNAcentral.
UUGAAAGGGAAACGAUUGAAGUCAGUCAUACCAACGGGAAAUCAACCUUUUGAGCUUGGUCUCGUGGGUUUUGAAGAGUUUCAAAGCCUUCGGAUUCGCGGGAUUGGGAUCUCUUGGUGUACUUUUUCGUACGGUUAGUCAGCAUCGGUUUUGAAUGUCAUAAAAUGACUGGAGGAAUGUAGCUUCGAUCUCGUAUUGAAGUGUUAUAGCCUUUGGUAGAUGUGAUGUUUGAGACCGAGGAUUGCAACGGAUACCCUUCAGGGCUAUUCGUCUGAUCUCUGAUACGUUGCCUUGAUGUUGAAAGCUUGCUUAUGAUGUUAGGGUAUUACGGUCAAAAGGUUAGAACGAAUUACAUUCGUUAAGGAUGUUGACGUA